GACGAACGCUGGCGGCGUGCCUAAUACAUGCAAGUAGAACGCUGAAGAGAGGAGCUUCCUCUUCUUGGAUGAGUUGCGAACGGGUGAGUAACGCGUAGGUAACCUGCCUUGUAGCGGGGGAUAACUAUUGGAAACGAUAGCUAAUACCGCAUAACAAUGGAUGACACAUGUCAUUUAUUUGAAAGGGGCAAUUGCUCCACUACAAGAUGGACCUGCGUUGUAUUAGCUAGUAGGUGAGGUAAUGGCUCACCUAGGCGACGAUACAUAGCCGACCUGAGAGGGUGAUCGGCCACACUGGGACUGAGACACGGCCCAGACUCCUACGGGAGGCAGCAGUAGGGAAUCUUCGGCAAUGGGGGCAACCCUGACCGAGCAACGCCGCGUGAGUGAAGAAGGUUUUCGGAUCGUAAAGCUCGGUUGUAAGUCAAGAACGGGUGUGAGAGUGGAAAGUUCACACUGUGACGGUAGCUUACCAGAAAGGGACGGCUAACUACGUG
Molecule: ribosomal RNA, 497 nt
Filed under: uncultured bacterium
Lineage: Bacteria
Description: partial 16S ribosomal RNA
Rfam family: Bacterial small subunit ribosomal RNA
Source: RNAcentral